Pongo pygmaeus (Bornean orangutan) is the source of this 5312-nucleotide long non-coding RNA. RefSeq lists it as uncharacterized. The transcript is spliced from 19 exons. The record is from RefSeq and is a predicted model, not a curated record. NCBI's taxonomy places the organism in Eukaryota, Metazoa, Chordata, Mammalia, Primates, Hominidae.
GUCUGAAUUCAGAGUGGUGCCUGGUAACCGCGUCUUCCCCGCCAUGUUGUGUGUGUUGCUGGCUGGAGAAGGGUAGUUGACAAACUCUGACCCAGCACGGUGUUUCUGUGGGUCAAAACUAGAAAACUAUAUCCGGGCGCCGAGGUGGAAGGAUCCUUUCAGGCCAGGAGUUAAAGAGCAGCCUAGGCAACAUGGCGCGACCCCGUCUCUGUAGUCCCACUUCAGCUUCCCAGAUACUUGAACCCCAAAGUUCAAGGCUGCAAUGACCUAUGAUCCCAUCACAGCACUCCAGCCUGCGAGACUGAGAGACGGGGUUUCACCAUGUUGGCCAGGCUGGUCUGGAACUCCUGACCUGAAGUGAUCUGCCCACCUCGGCUUCCCAAAGUGCUGGGAUGACAGGCGUAAGCCACUGCGCCUGGCCCCUUCAGUUCUGAAGGCCAGAAUUCUAAAGUCAGUCCCACUGAGUCAAGGUGGGAGCAGGCUCAGUGCCUUCCCAGGCUCUGCGGGAGAAUCCGUUUCCUGGCCCUGGAGGUGGCCUGUACUCCUCAGCUUGUGCUGCCCUUCUCGAAUGACUCGAGUUUCCUGCUUUCAUCACUACACCUCCCACCACUCUCCAUCACCUGCUCUGCUCUUAUAAGGAUCCAGAGUCUUGUUCUGUCAUCCAGGCUGGCAGUGGUGCAGUCUCAGCCCACUGCAACAUCCGCCUCCUGGGUUCAAGGAAUUCUCCUCCCUCAGCCUCCCAAGUAGCUGAGACUACGGACGCCUGCCACUACGCCUGGCUAAGUUUUGUAUUUUUGGUAGAGACGGGGGCGGGACUGGGGGGUGGGGGAGGGGAGGGGGUUUUCCACUAUGUUGCGCUUAGCUCAAAGCGAUCUGCCCAGCCUCUGCUCCCGAAGUGCUAGGAUUAUAGGCCUGUACCACCGCCACUGUAAAAUCUUAUUUCCAUACAGCUGAGACAUGUUUUAGGAAGUUUGCUAAAAGACCCCUGGAGACCUCCUCAUUGUGGCCUCCCUGUUGUCAUGUUUAAUUUGAUUGAUCUUUUCUGCCCUCCUGCUUUUCAUAAAUUAAAAGGCUAAAAAGAGGUACUAAACUUUAAAACUUCUCUUAUAGUCUCCCAUUAAACUAAUUCUAAGAACCACCAAAAAGGGGAAAAUUUUUUUUGAAAGCAGUAAAAUGAUAUGGUCUGUUAGAAUGUAAAAUACAGGAAAUAAGUCAUUAUAUGUUAUUGCUGCUGUGAUAUAGGGAUGUAUUAUUGAGAAUCAACUUCUGGUCAGUUUUCAGAGAAAUGGAAUAGUCGUAUCACUGAUCUACGUAAACAGGUUGAAGAAUUGUCUGAAAGAAAAUAUGGUGUGUCUAAACUGGAAAAGUCCUGUAAUAGUUUGUUCAUGAGCAUUUACACAAUGGAGUUGCUGUUUCAUCAUGGGGGUACUGUGGACAAGCCCAGGGCUGCUGCUCAAGCUGUAAAAGCCAAAGGUCCACCCGUUUUUUCCAGUCUCAAGCUGAAGAUCUUUAUGUAGAAGGCCUUCCCCACAGGAAUUAUUUAUUUAUUUAUUUAUUUUUUUUUUUUUGUGACGGAGUUUUUACUCUUGUUGCCCAGGCUGGAGUGCAGUGGCAUGAUCUAGGCUGGAGUACAAUGCUGUGAUCUCAGCUCACUGCAGCCUCUGCCUCCUGGGUUCAAGCGAUUCUCCUGCCUCAGUCUCCUGAGUACCUGGGAUUACAGGCGCCCGCCACUACACCAGGCUAAUUUUGUAUUUUUAAUAGAGAUGGGGUUUCACCAUGUUGGCCAGGCUGGUCUGGAACUGCUGAACUCAGGUGAUCCUCCUGCCUCAGCCUCCCAGAGUGCUGGGAUUACAGGCAUGGACCACUAUGCCAGGCCAGGAAUUGUUGUUGUUGUUGUUGUUGUUGUUUUUGUUUUUGAGACACAGUCUUGCUCUGUGCCCAGAGUGGAGUGCAGUGGAGCAAUCUCGGCUCACCGCAACCUCCGCCUCUUGGGUUCAAGUGAUUCACUUGCCUCAGUCUCCUGAGUAGCUGGGACUACAGGUGCAAGUCACCAUGCCCGGUUAAUUUUUUUGUAUUUUUAGUAAAGAUGGGGUUUCUUUUUUUUUUUUUUUUUUGAGACGGAGUCUCGCUCUGUCGCCCAGGCUGGAGUGCAGUGGCACGAUCUCGGCUCACUGCAAGCUCCGCUUCCCGGGUUCAUGCCAUUCUCCUGCCUCAGCCUCCCAAGUAGCUGGGACAAUAGGCGCCCGCCAUCACGCCCGGCUAAUUUUUUGUACGUUUAGUAGACAUGGGGUUUCACCGUGUUAGCCAGCAUGGUCUCGAUCUCUUGACCUCGUGAUCCACCCGCCUCGGCCUCCCAAAGUGCUGGGAUUACAGGUGUGAGCCACCGUGCCUGGCCAAGACAGGGUUUCACUAUGUUGGCCAGGCUUGUCUGGUAAUCCUGACUUCAUCAUCCACCCGCCUUGGCCUCCCAAAUUGCUGGGAUUACAGAUGUGAGCCACUUUGCCCCACCAGAAAUUUUUUUUAGGAAGGCUAUCUACUUACAGAAUUCCUGGCCUUGAGAGGAUAUUACUUGCAAUGGAAAGGAUUUGUUUUGUGAUUAAAAAGUUCAAGUGAUUCUCCUGCCUCAGCCUCCUGAGUAGCUGGGAUUACAGGCAUGUCCCACCAAGCCCAGACAUGAACUUAUGAAUUCAACACAUGAAGAUUUACAGCUUGACAAACCAGCUUCAGGAGCUCAAGCUGUUGGACUCGCCGAGGCAGUAAAAGUACCAUAUCUUGUGUUUGAAUCAAACUCCAAUUUCCUGUAUAUAGAAGGCUUGCCAGACAGGAUUCCCUUCCGAAGCCCUACCUGGUUUGGAAUUCCAUGACUUGAAAGGAUCCUUCGUGGGAGUAAUAAAAUGAAGUUUGUUGUUAAAAAGUAAAUUCUGGGCGGGACAUGGUGGCUCACAUCUGUAAUCCCAGCACUUUGGGAGGCUGAGGCGGGCAGAUCACCUGAAGUCAGGAGUUUGAGACCAGCCUGGCAAACAUGGCGAAACCCCAUAUCUAUUAAAAAUACAAAGAAUUAGCUGGGCGUGGUGGCAGGUGCCUGGAAACCCAGCUACUUGGGAGGCUGAAGCAGGAGAAUCACUUGAACCUGGGAGGCAGAGGCUGCAGUGAGCCGAGAUCACACCAUAGCACUCCAGCCUGGGUGACAGAGUGAGACUCUGCCUCAACAACAACAACAACAACAAUAAAAAACUUUGCAGUCCCCAAAAAGACCAUGAAGCCCUGAGAGUAAUGAAAAGCUUCCUGACAUUGAGGUCACUGUGGAAGAUGAGAGGAUCAGAGAUCUCUCCUCUACACGAGGUGCCAUCCUUUCCUGAAGGAGCUCCUUGUAAAGUGCAUGAGGUGUUCCUUUUGGUAAAAAGACACACUGCGCAACCACGGAGACCUGAGCCUGAACCUAUAAAGAUUUGAACAAGGAGAAUCUAAUGCCUGAUGGUCUGCCACUGUCUCCCAUCACCCCCAGAUGGGACCAUCUAGUUGCCGAAAAACAAGCUGAGGCCUCCCACUCAUCCUACAUUAUGCCUCAGCCGAGAUGUCUCACCCCACUCUCUGUGAUGCAACAAGAAGCCCCUGGGGAGCAUUUCAGUCCCAGUCUAUACUUCUGUCAUGUGCUCAUCGCAGUCUGCUGGAUCUACCAUGAAAGACUUCAGAGUCCAGGAAGAGAGACUGACUGGGCAACAUGUUAUUCAGAAUUAGAGAAGAUGAUGUGAUGAUGGAAGAAGAGGUCAGAGAGGGAGAUUUGAAGAUGUUGCAGUUCUGGCCUUCAAGAUGAAGUCAGGGGCUACCUUCAGGAAUCUCACUCUCGCCCAGGGUGGAGUGCAGUGGUGCGAUCUCAGCUGCCUGCAGCCUUCACCUCCCAGGUUCAAGCGAUUCUCCUGCCUCAGCCUCUUGAGUAGCUGGGAUUACAGAAGCAGGACCUUGCUCUGUCACCCAGGAUGGAGUUCAGUGGUCCAAUCACAGCUCAUUGUAACCUCAGACUCCCAGGCUCAAGCGAUCCUCCCACCUCAUCCUUCCCAGUAGCUGGGACUACAGUCUGCCACCAAGGCUGGAGUGCAGAGGCGCGAUCUCUGCUCACUGCAACCUCCACUUCGAAGGCUCAAACAAUUCUCCGUCCUCAGCCUCCCAAGUAACUGGGAUUACAGGGCUGCUGUAAAAUAUUACAGGCAUACUUUGGAGAUAUUACGGGAUUGGUUCCACAUCACUGCAGUAAAGAAGAAGAUGAGCCUUAAGUCUGAACGCGGAGGAAUUCAUGUGCAUCAGUCGGACCUCCUGUGCAAGAAAGGAUGUGGUUACUACGGCAACCCUGCCUGGCAGGGUUUCUGCUCCAAGUGCUGGGGGGAAGAGUACCACAAAGCUAGGCAGAAGGAGAUUCAGGAGGACUGGGAGCUGGCGGAGCGGUAGAAGGACUUAAUUAGGGGCGGUUGAACAGUGACGUGACUGGAUACAUACUUCUGUCACCAUCCAAAUACAUUUUUUAAAAUUUCUGCUUUGACCUAUCAGCAAGUCAGUUUAAAAUUAAGGAAAAGGAUGUUUUCCCCUCUUCUUCUCAGUCAACCUUUAAUGAACAGCUUUGAGUUGUUUCUUCAUUUUGUGUAUGUCUUAACUUCUGAUUAUAUUCUUUGGGUUGUGUUAGUCUUAGUUCUCAAAUGUAGACAAUAAGCUCCUUGGAGUGGAAGAAUGGAGAUAGGCAUAUUUCCUGGUGAAGAUUAAAUGAGCUAAUAAAUAUGAUGUACCUAGUGCAGGGCUUGCAAAUGGCACUGAUCAAGCAUUAUUUCCCUCAUUCUUUUAAUAUAUUCAGCGUGGCAUCUAGCUCAGUGAUAAAACACAGUAGUAGAAAUCUGUUGACUUGUAUACAUAGUCCUUGCAUUAUAGAAAUUUAACUUUUCCUUAAAAAUUAGGUUAGUCAAAGGCAGUUUUUAUUAUCUGGAAAUACAAUGAUGUUAAAAAUUAAAUAAUGGGCCAGGCACAGUGGCUCACGCCUGUAAUCCUAGCACUUUGGGAGGCUGAGGCGGGAGGAUCAUCUGAGGUCAGGAGUUUGAGACCAGCCUGAGCAAUAUGGUGAAACCCCAUCUCUACUAAAAAUAUUUAAAAAGUUAGCCAGGCGUGGUGGUGUGCACUUGUUAUCUCAGCUACUUGGGAGGCUGAGGCAGGAGAAUUGCUUGAACCCAGGUAUCGGAGGUUGCAGUGAGCUGAGAUUGUGCCACUGCCCUCCAGCCUGGGCGACAGGGUGAGACUCUGUCUCCAAAAAAAAAAAAAAAAAAAAAAAAAUU